Molecule: long non-coding RNA, 1336 nt
Filed under: Homo sapiens (human)
Lineage: Eukaryota; Metazoa; Chordata; Mammalia; Primates; Hominidae
Description: HSALNT0330810
Source: RNAcentral
UUCCCUCUUGACGCCCAAUUCCCAUCAGUCUCUGACCCAGGAGCCUGGGGUGGGGAGCUGGGGUGGGGGCAACGGCAGACCCUUUCAGGGCCGGAGAGGCCCCCUGACUGGCAGGCACUGAUUUUUUAAUUUAAAAAGCAAAGUAAACAGCAAUAUAAAAGGGCCCAUAUAAGAACUCAGUGUGUAAGUGGGACCUGCCUCAGGCAAAUUUUUCUAAUUUUCCUGAAAACAAGCAUUUUUACCCUUUGGCCCAAAGCCAUUGCCUUUGCCAUUGGACUUGGCCCCUGCCCCACCCCCUCUCCUGAGCCACCCUUCUGUGUUUGAGAAGCUGCCCCUGGCAGAAAAGAGAAUGACCUCCUGCGUUUUAGUCAGACACUUCAUACGGGCUGGUGAAGGUUUUUUGAGGUUGCUCACGCUCCCAGCCAAGGAGUCUGUGGAAAUCCUUCAAAAAGUACAAGGCAGCCUUAUGAAUGGGGAGUGAGGAGCUUAAUGACAGACGCAAGGACCCUCAACUACAUCUGAAGGAGGAGAAAGAAUUAUGAUGACCGAAUCCUGUAGAAUUCUGCUGAGGUUUACUUUUACUUUAUGCGAGGGCUAAUUAAGCUGGAUUUAUAAAUAGGUUAUUUAUUUUUGUCUUGUAAAUAGAAUUAUAGAUUGAAUAGAGCCUCUACCUCGGCCAAGGGUCUUCAAACUCUUUUUUAAAGCAGGGGAACCUUCUGUUGAAUGGAGCUGUGUGCAGAACCACAGCAUAAAAAUGGAAGCAAAAGUUCUCUGGUCAGGUUGGAAAGGAAGGCCUGGGGUCCUGCUCAGGCCUGGAGGGCACCCAUUUCCAGCGGCCAUCUGUCCCCCUGCCCCAGUCCCUGAUGUGUUCUGUGGAACCUCAGGGUUCCAAGGGACAGAGUCUGAAAGACAUUGCUCUAAAUGAAUCUGUGCUGCAUGGAAUGUAUUUUCCAGUCGCUGCCUCCAGGAUUACUGAACAUGGAGGGGGCGCUGUGGUCUCAAAUCCCAGGUGCAUUAGCAUUUCCGUUUUCAUGUAGGUUGACACAGUGUUCCCUUGUACUAGAAAAUGCCAGUGGGUGUUAGCAAAGGCCCUUUACACGCAGAACAAUGAGCCCAGAGCGAGGCGCAAGCUUCAAAGCCGUCUCUUCACUGGAAAGGGUGACGCGGCGCAAGAUUUACCCCUGAACCUCUCUGGGAGUGUGAGCUUCAUGGGCCUCAGUAGGAGGAGACGGUGGAGAAGAAAAAGACUUUACCAGGCUGUCUGCAGACACCCUUGUCCUAGAGGCCCUGGAGUGGGACAGCUGGGUGGCUCCUCGGAAGACUCCACAACCCCUUG